This 254-nucleotide ribosomal RNA is filed under the name uncultured bacterium. RNAcentral's name for it is "partial 16S ribosomal RNA". It matches the Rfam family "Bacterial small subunit ribosomal RNA", at positions 524 to 777 of the family's 1533-position model. The record is from RNAcentral.
UACAGAGGUGGCAAGCGUUGUUCGGAAUUACUGGGCGUAAAGGGCGCGUAGGCGGCCUUCUAAGUCAGACGUGAAAUCCCCCGGCUUAACCUGGGAACUGCGUCUGAUACUGGAAGGCUUGAGUGCGGGAGAGGGAUGUGGAAUUCCAGGUGUAGCGGUGAAAUGCGUAGAUAUCUGGAGGAACACCGGUGGCGAAGGCGGCAUCCUGGACCGACACUGACGCUGAGGCGCGAAAGCGUGGGGAGCGAACGGGG